UGCAGUCGAACGGUGAUGAUGGGAGCUUGCUUCUGUCUGAUCAGUGGCGAACGGGUGAGUAACACGUGAGUAACCUGCCCCAGACUCUGGGAUAACCCCGGGAAACCGGAGCUAAUACCGGAUAUGACACCAAUCCGCAUGGGUAUGGUGUGGAAAGUUUUUCGGUCUGGGAUGGACUCGCGGCCUAUCAGCUUGUUGGUGAGGUAGUGGCUCACCAAGGCGACGACGGGUAGCCGGCCUGAGAGGGCGACCGGCCACACUGGGACUGAGACACGGCCCAGACUCCUACGGGAGGCAGCAGUGGGGAAUAUUGCACAAUGGGCGGAAGCCUGAUGCAGCGACGCCGCGUGAGGGAUGACGGCCUUCGGGUUGUAAACCUCUUUCAGCAGGGAAGAAGCGCACGUGACGGUACCUGCAGAAGAAGCACCGGCUAACUACGUGCCAGCAGCCGCGGUAAUACGUAGGGUGCGAGCGUUGUCCGAAUUAUUGGGCGUAAAGAGCUUGUAGGUGGUUUGUCGCGUCUGCUGUGAAAAUCCGAGGCUCAACCUCGGACUUGCAGUGGGUACGGGCAGACUAGAGUGUGGUAGGGGAGACUGGAAUUCCUGGUGUAGCGGUGGAAUGCGCAGAUAUCAGGAGGAACACCGAUGGCGAAGGCAGGUCUCUGGGCCAUUACUGACACUGAGAAGCGAAAGCAUGGGGAGCGAACAGGAUUAGAUACCCUGGUAGUCCAUGCCGUAAACGUUGGGAACUAGGUGUGGGUCGCAUUCCACGUGAUCCGUGCCGCAGCUACGCAUUAAGUUCCCCGCCUGGGGAGUACGGCCGCAAGGCUAAAACUCAAAGGAAUU
This 845-nucleotide ribosomal RNA is filed under the name Terrabacter aerolatus. RNAcentral's name for it is "bacterial SSU rRNA". It matches the Rfam family "Bacterial small subunit ribosomal RNA", at positions 56 to 911 of the family's 1533-position model. Lineage: Bacteria; Bacillati; Actinomycetota; Actinomycetes; Micrococcales; Intrasporangiaceae. The record is from RNAcentral.